This 343-nucleotide ribosomal RNA is filed under the name uncultured bacterium. RNAcentral's name for it is "bacterial SSU rRNA". It matches the Rfam family "Bacterial small subunit ribosomal RNA", at positions 8 to 334 of the family's 1533-position model. The record is from RNAcentral.
AGGGUUUGAUUCUGGCUCAGGAUGAACGCUGGCGGCACGCUUAACACAUGCAAGUCGAGCGGAGGAAGGAGUUAAAGCACUACGGUGUGGAGACUGCGGACUCAGCGGCGGACGGGUGAGGAACGCGUGGGUAACCUGCCCUAUACAGGGGGAUACCGUGUAGAAAUGCACGCUAAAACCGCAUAAGCUACCGAAGUCGCAUGACAUUGGUGGAAAAACUGAGGUGGUAUAGGAUGGGCCCGCGUCUGAUUAGCUAGUUGGAGAGGUAAAGGCUCCCCAAGGCGACGAUCAGUAGCCGGUCUGAGAGGAUGGACGGCCACAUUGGGACUGAGACACGGCCCAA